GGACACGUGUACGGCUCUAUCGCUCACCGCUCGUGUUCUUACUUAUAAUCGGCGGGACAGAGGAGCAGGAACAUUGAGAAACCAGAGUAGUUUUCUUCAUUCUAUACUCCAAUAUUAUCAGUCAUCCGUGUUCAGUUUGGUGACAUGUGGCAGUUAUUGAAGUCUCUUCAUUAUCGACAACCUCGACCAGCUAUCCGUGUUCCUCGACAGGUCUCUCACUUUGUCUCCUCCUUGUUGCAAUCAUGAAAAAGGAGCUGCUGAUCUGUUUCUUUUCAGAAUCGGUCUUCCUGCUUCCAUGGGUGGAUUCCAUCGAUAUCGUUCCGAGCUUGAUGCAAUGGAGGCUAAGCUUGCUUCAUGGUCGUUUGCUUUUGUUUUUGUAACUUUUUCAAAUGUAUCGCAGUGUCAGCUAUCACUCUUGCAUUUGAGCUUUACUGGGGGGAGCCCAUGCGAGAAGGGGAGGCGGGCUUGGUUUUAUUUUUUCACAUCUAAACCCAGCAUUCAAGUGUUGAUUCUUUUGUGGGUGAAUCAGCUUCAUGGACAUUUUCCCUAACCCUAUUGCAUACUAGAUGCCUGGAGAAGUUGAGGAAAGAGGUGAAUGACCAUUGGUGUUGUGAACCUGGUUUAACGCAUCUGGAAAUGGUUAGUAGAGAAUACCAUAUCUGGAAAUGGUACGUGUUUCUGAUUAAUGAUAAACUUUUCAGUGAUCAGUUUAUGCACCAUCUUUGGAUCAUGGUGUUGGAGAUCCAGAAGAUGGAUAUCUUUGUGAGCCUGCAGCAUAUAAAGUGGCCAUAGUUGAAGGAAAUUAUCUAUUGUUGGAAGAUGGGGCUUGGAAGGAUGUGUCUUCAAUGUUCGAUGAGAAAUUAAGUGUUAUGUUCUUGCUAGGCUAGGACGUGUCUUCAAUGUUUGAUGAGAAAUGGUAAGUGUUAUGUUCUUGCUAGGUUAUUUUCCUUCUCUAUUUUGUCGUGGAGCAGAUAUAUAUGCUGAGUAUUCAUGCCAAAUUUUUUUCAUUAGUGUUAUUUUCCCUAGUUUUUAUACGUCUGACAGGGCUGGCAUGUAGCAAUAAUGUUGAGAGCUGUAUCAUGCUUAAGGGCAACUUUGCAUUCUUAAGUUCUGCUUCCGAGAGCUUUUCUCACGUGGUUCAAAUCAGUGUUUCAAAAUAUGUUUUAUGAAUGUCCUCCCUUGGCACGAGACAGAAUUUCAGGGUCACUUUGAACCUUGUAUCUUUACAUUGGAUUAUCCUCUCAUGAUGCUGUCCAUGCCAGAAUAUGGAAUCAAAAGCACAAGAAAAAUGAAGAUUAAGUCUGGAAGUUAGAUGUAUAACGAUACACACUGUUGGGAUGCAACAUGGUCUUUAGAUCACAAUGUGUUGCAAACCUGCAGUCCAUUUCAGUUAACAUCAUCUUGGGUUCGUGCUACUGUUUGGAUUAGUAACUGCUGUUUCCCUUGCUUUGCUAAUUUAUGAAACCAGACGUGAGGAAUUGGCACUUAAUUCUUACAGAUAGGACAACGAGCAGCGUAAUGCAGAGCUGAUUAUCAAGUCAAAGAAAAAUGCAGAUUUAGUAAUCAGGUCUAUCAAUUUCUAGAAUUGAUGUGAUGAAUUAAUGGAGAAAGAGAAAUGAGAUCACAUUUUCCUGUUAGGCGUUAACUUAAUGGAAACUGAAAAAAUGAAUAAAUAAUGAAGGAUAUGGCUUCUUCUUUUUUCUCCUUGCUUCUAACAUUUUCAUUCACAUGUUCAUUUGUUACUUCAAGAUUCAGACUAACCAAGUUAUUCAAAAUGCAGUUUUUUAUAGAAGCAAGUUAAUGCCUGGUUCCCUUUAUAGUUUGUACAGAGAGAAGUCAAUAGACUGUAAAACCUGAUUCCUUUGGGCACCUAACACGGGAAAUUGUGAUCUGAUUAAUUGAUUUGUGGCACAUAGUUGGAAACUACUUUAGUUGCUUGUUUAGCAUAAUAGCAUCUCACUGACCAAGUAAAUAAUUGCUGUACAAAGAGAUGCCUUGAUUGUUUUACAGAUAAUGCGUUGCAAAAUGUUUC
Populus euphratica (Euphrates poplar) is the source of this 2032-nucleotide RNA transcript. RefSeq lists it as uncharacterized. NCBI's taxonomy places the organism in Eukaryota, Viridiplantae, Streptophyta, Magnoliopsida, Malpighiales, Salicaceae. The record is from RefSeq and is a predicted model, not a curated record. The transcript has 4 exons.